This 497-nucleotide ribosomal RNA is filed under the name uncultured bacterium. Its description in RNAcentral is "partial 16S ribosomal RNA". It matches the Rfam family "Bacterial small subunit ribosomal RNA", at positions 28 to 507 of the family's 1533-position model. The record is from RNAcentral.
GAUGAACGCUGGCGGCGUGCCUAAUACAUGCAAGUCGAGCGAACGGACGAGAAGCUUGCUUCUCUGAUGUUAGCGGCGGACGGGUGAGUAACACAUGGAUAACCUACCUAUAAGACUGGGAUAACUUCGGGAAACCGCAGCUAAUACCGGAUAAUAUUUUGAACCGCAUGGUUCAAAAGUGAAAGACGGUCUUGCUGUCACUUAUAGAUGGAUCCGCGCUGCAUUAGCUAGUUGGUAAGGUAACGGCUUACCAAGGCAACGAUGCAUAGCCGACCUGAGAGGGUGAUCGGCCACACUGGAACUGAGACACGGUCCAGACUCCUACGGGAGGCAGCAGUAGGGAAUCUUCCGCAAUGGGCGAAAGCCUGACGGAGCAACGCCGCGUGAGUGAUGAAGGUCUUCGGAUCGUAAAACUCUGUUAUUAGGGAAGAACAUAUGUGUAAGUAACUGUGCACAUCUUGACGGUACCUAAUCAGAAAGCCACGGCUAACUACGUG